RNAcentral lists this long non-coding RNA (1343 nucleotides) under Setaria italica (foxtail millet). RNAcentral's name for it is "long non-coding RNA (SITA_LNC005742)". Lineage: Eukaryota; Viridiplantae; Streptophyta; Magnoliopsida; Poales; Poaceae. The record is from RNAcentral.
UUUAAUUUAAUUCAUUUGUUUGCUUGUAUGUGCGUGCUCUGGAUGUUUGUUUUGGUUGGUUGCCACGAGUAGAACAAACACAGUUCAAGAGUUUUCAAGAGCGUGAAGAUGAAGUUAAUCACUUUUGCAUUGCUCUGCAUUUAAUAUUGAUGGGUCCUAUUAAGGUUUGUCUAGUUUUUAUUAUCAUUCCUUAUCAACCUGGGUUUUAUCUUUCUGUUGGGUAGCUAUGCUUAGCUGCUAUACUUAGGUUAUGGUGGUUUUAAUGUACUCAAUGAUUAAACUUGUUUUACUUAUGCUAUACCUUCCAUUAAUACAAGAUCACCAUGCUUAAUUGGAACAUGGAGUGACCACCCAGGAAACAGUGCAACCACAAGAACUAAUGGGCUCUGGUCUUAGCUAAUUAAUUAGAUUCUAGUUAAGGGUAAUCUUACCGAAAGGGCAAGAGGAGAGGCUUGAGUCGUUGUAUAGCCCGGUCCUCUUGGUAAGUGGGCUUUGCUAAAACACUAUACCCAUUAGGGAGGUUUAUGCACGCACCGAAACCUUAGUGGGUUACUUCUUAUUAGGGAAUCUUUGUAAAGGCCUUGUAGUGUCCCUAUGCAGUCACACCUUGGUAGUGUGAUGAGUGCCUGAUUAGUACAGCAUGGUUGGGUUUAAAGUUCAUCUGAACUUUUACGCGACUUGUGGGUAAAGUAGUACAACCUCUGCAAAGUGUCUAAAACUGAUCGAUCAGCGGUGCUCAUGGUCAAGAGCGGCCUGAACUCUCACAUGAUUAAUCUAUCGGAAGUUCCAAAGUUGAAUUAAAUUGUUGUUAUUUAUUGCUGUUAUCUUUAUUUAUGUUCAUGCUUAAUGUGGGUUGGUAUAUACUUAUACCUUAGUAAUAAGGUGCUAAUAAAAUUUGACCAACUAAAAAUGCUUAAUGCAGUCAACCAGUCAGCGUUUCCUUAUUUAAGCCUUGCAUGCAUAUUUUCCCCACACUUGCUAAGUACGACAUGUGCUCACACUUGCUAUAACCAGCGUUGCUCAGAAGAAGAGGAUGCUAUGGAGUUUGUUGAAGCUGGUGCUGAGUUCUAGGCAUACGCAACCCCAGUCGACGGCCUGUGAAGUUUGGAGCCUUCGUUUCCAGGAUUAAGCAUAUAUCUCUGAUACUCUUUUUCAUUACGUGAUACUGUUACUGUUAUUCACUUAUGAUGUCACUAUAUGUAUGAAACUAGAUCCUGGCAUAUAUAUAGGUAGCACUUGGUUUUGUUUUAAAACCAGAUGUGACAGUUCUAAUCAUCACUUAAGCUCCAUACAUGUAAUCCUCAUAGUCUCUUUGAGUUGCAAUGUAUAAAAAGAACCGAAAC